RNAcentral lists this ribosomal RNA (427 nucleotides) under Lancefieldella rimae. RNAcentral describes it as "bacterial SSU rRNA". It matches the Rfam family "Bacterial small subunit ribosomal RNA", at positions 28 to 453 of the family's 1533-position model. Lineage: Bacteria; Bacillati; Actinomycetota; Coriobacteriia; Coriobacteriales; Atopobiaceae. The record is from RNAcentral.
GAUGAACGCUGGCGGCGCGCCUAACACAUGCAAGUCGAACGGUUAAAGCACCUUUUAGGUGUGUAUAAAGUGGCGAACGGCUGAGUAACACGUGGGCAACCUGCCCUCCUCUUGGGGAUAGCCUCGGGAAACCGAGGAUAAUACCCGAUACUUCAAUGUGGCCGCAUGGCGACAUUGAGAAAGCUUUUGCGGAGAAGGAUGGGCCCGCGGCCUGUUAGCUUUUUGGUGGGGUAGAGGCCUACCAAGGCAAUGAUGGGUAGCUGGGUUGAGAGACCGACCAGCCAGAUUGGGACUGAGACACGGCCCAGACUCCUACGGGAGGCAGCAGUGGGGAAUCUUGCACAAUGGGCGAAAGCCUGAUGCAGCGACGCCGCGUGCGGGACGAAGGCCUUCGGGUUGUAAACCGCUUUCAGCAGGGACGAGGCGA